AUGCCCAAAGAGCCGCGGAAGGCGUCCUACUCCACCGACAUAAGGGCACCUCCGUAUUGGGUCUCUGCUCGUAGACAAAUCGAUUUUGGGAAGAAGCCGGUGAAGGACAAGGUGAUCACGGAGGUGGCCUCGGCGGUCAAAAGACUAUACUUGUCUGCUGCUGCAGAUACGACUACGGCGUCAGCUUCGGUGGACGGUUCUGCUCCGGUUGCCACUGAUGCACCAAACGCGUUGGAGCAGCUUGUGCUCGCUGGCGGGGGUACCAACAACUCCAACAAUGGGCCCCCUGUUCAGUUUGUUACUGGAGGCCUGGAGGCGUCUAAUGACAUGGCUGGAGCACACCUCAACACCAACUCAGGAGCUCCGGCUGGUCAAAUGAGUGAGCUGAUGGAUAAGGGACCUGGGGAGCACCUCCACUCUAACCUGAGUGCUCCUGGGUCUCCUACUGCUGCUGCUAUGGCGUCUAUGCAGAAGCAGCCGCAGAUGGGGGAUGUACAACCUAUGGAUCAGCCGAAGGCUAAAGCUCAUGGUGGUCGCGAGGGUGCUGCUGCUGAUGGCGUACAACAGCGUGCUCUGGCUACUGCUGGAGUCCAGCGAUGGAAGAGGCUUCAUCGAGAAGAGCAGGAAGAGAAGGAGAUGGUGCAAUCCGCAUGUGCUAAACAUGUGGUUUUUGGCAUCCCCACGCCACCAAACAGCGGCAGCGAGCUCUCCAGUCGCAAGAUGAUUUUUGCUGCCAUGCUUGAGAGUACGGCAGGUAGCAAGAGGCGAUCCCCUGAUGACCAAGAUUUCGUGUUAAGCAUGAAUAGUACUAGUACUGAAAGUCUAGAGGUUAGGGAUUCUAUGGAUGUGAGUAUGAAUUGUAAAAGAGUUUGGUACUAG
Molecule: ribosomal RNA, 879 nt
Filed under: Triticum aestivum (bread wheat)
Lineage: Eukaryota; Viridiplantae; Streptophyta; Magnoliopsida; Poales; Poaceae
Description: partial small subunit ribosomal RNA
Source: RNAcentral